This 319-nucleotide ribosomal RNA is filed under the name Clostridium perfringens. Its description in RNAcentral is "partial 23S ribosomal RNA". It matches the Rfam family "Bacterial large subunit ribosomal RNA", at positions 1239 to 1557 of the family's 2925-position model. Lineage: Bacteria; Bacillati; Bacillota; Clostridia; Eubacteriales; Clostridiaceae. The record is from RNAcentral.
UCGUAACCGGGCUGAAGUCGUACCGUAAGGAGCGGUGGACUGGUUACGAGUGAGAAUGUUGGCAUCAGUAGCGAGAUGUGGGUGAGAAUCCCACAGGCCGAAAACCUAAGGUUUCCUCAGGAAGGUUCGUCCGCUGAGGGUUAGUCGGGACCUAAGCCGAGGCCGAAAGGCGUAGGUGAUGGACAACUGGUUGAUAUUCCAGUACCACUACCAUCGUUAUUAUCGAUGGCGUGACGCAGGAGGAUAGUGUGUGCUAGCUAUUGGAUGCUAGUCUAAGCGUUUAGGCAGUGAGAGUAGGCAAAUCCGCUCUCAUAAUGCU